GACGAACGCUGGCGGCGUGCUUAACACAUGCAAGUCGAACGGACAGGCCAUGCUUGCAGGGUACUCGAGUUGCGAACGGGCGAGUAACUCGUGGGUGAUUUGCCCUGCACUUCGGGUUAAGCAUGGGAAACAGGCUCUAACACCGACUAGGUGCCAUAUUUAGUGGGAUGGUUGGAUAGUUUUUUCGGUGUUUGCUGAGCCCGCUGCGUAUCGGCUUGCUGGUGGAGUAAUGGCCUACCAAAGCGGCGUCGCGUAGCCGGCCUGCGGGGGUGGACGGCGAUCCUGAGUCUGAGGGACGGCCCAGGCACCGACGGGAGGGAGCAGUGCGGAAUAUUGCACGAUGGGCGCAAGCUGGGUGCAGCGGCGCCGCGUGUCGGAUGACUCCCUUCGGGUUGUAGACUACUUGCGCAAGGGACGAUGCAUUUUGUGACGGUACCUAGAUAGGAAGCCCCGGCUAACUACGUG
This 465-nucleotide ribosomal RNA is filed under the name uncultured bacterium. Its description in RNAcentral is "partial 16S ribosomal RNA". It matches the Rfam family "Bacterial small subunit ribosomal RNA", at positions 28 to 507 of the family's 1533-position model. The record is from RNAcentral.